RNAcentral lists this microRNA precursor (171 nucleotides) under Triticum aestivum (bread wheat). RNAcentral describes it as "MIR2118 microRNA precursor family". It matches the Rfam family "MIR2118 microRNA precursor family". RNAcentral also lists the same sequence under 1 other name. Lineage: Eukaryota; Viridiplantae; Streptophyta; Magnoliopsida; Poales; Poaceae. The record is from Rfam by way of RNAcentral.
GUCGAGAAGAGGAAGAAAAGAGACCCUGAGAGUAGUGGGAAUGGGAACAUGGAUGAAACCCUAACUUGCUUUGUUUUCAUCUCUAGUAUAGGCGGUAAGAAUUCAGCUUGGUGUUUCCCGAUGCCUCCUAUUCCUAUUGUUCUCAAGCACUCCUUCCUUUUCUUUUGGCUU